UACAGAGGGUGCAAGCGUUAUUCGGAUUUAUUGGGCGUAAAGAGCGCGUAGGUGGUUUCAUAAGUCUGGUGUGAAAGCCCAGGGCUCAACCCUGGAAGUGCAUUGGAUACUGUGAGACUAGAGUACAGGAGAGGAAAGCGGAAUUCCCGGUGUAGAGGUGAAAUUCGUAGAUAUCGGGAGGAACAACAGUGGCGAAGGCGGCUUUCUGGACUGUUACUGACACUGAGGCGCGAAAGCGUGGGGAGCAAACAGG
Molecule: ribosomal RNA, 253 nt
Filed under: uncultured bacterium
Lineage: Bacteria
Description: partial 16S ribosomal RNA
Rfam family: Bacterial small subunit ribosomal RNA
Source: RNAcentral